Cavia porcellus (domestic guinea pig) is the source of this 1016-nucleotide long non-coding RNA. RefSeq lists it as uncharacterized. Lineage: Eukaryota; Metazoa; Chordata; Mammalia; Rodentia; Caviidae. The record is from RefSeq and is a predicted model, not a curated record. The transcript is spliced from 2 exons.
UACCCAGGGGAGAGGAGGAAGGGUGGCCUGCCUGGGUCCCUCCUGCAAUUCUCUGCCCCAGCAGCCCUCUCAAGCCUGGUUCUCAGUUUAAGUCAAAUCACUUUGGUCCCCAGUUGCCUCCUGCCUGCCAGGUUCCAACUCAAUCAUUCUUUGAAAUUUGGAGCUGUAGCUAAAACGCUUUUGCCCUGUAACAGGAUUUUCACAGUCUCCACAGCAGCGGCAACGUCACUCAUCACCUGCUGUUGUAAUCUGCACUGCUAAGCCUGGGGCUCCAGGCAGAGAGCUUAACUUGCUUUGCUGAUUCUAGCUCACUCUUCCUGGCACUGGAGCCUCACUUCAGGCGGGAGAGCUAAUCCAGCCUCAACUCCACCUACAUCUCCAAGGAGACACCAGUGGCAGAGGGAGCCCCAACUCCUUCUGGAGGAGGGAGGUCAGAACCAAGCUCCCCCAGACUGGAUGGCCACGAAACAUGGCGCCCUGAGUGGGUCUGUGAGGGCACCGGCUCUGUGCACCUUCCCCUAGGGGAGGUUGGCAGGAGAGAUUAAGUGGCUGAUUUUCCUGACAACUGUUUCAAGGACUGGCCAAGCCUCAGUGUCUGCAUUGAGAGUGACAGCUCUGUUACAGGAAAUACACAUGCAGGCUGAUCCGUCGUCAACUGCUAGCACCUGUGUGUCCUUCUUGUGUGCUCCCUCUGCCCGCAGAGUCCACUGUGCUGCCCACUCGCAAGCAGGAAGUAUCAGGGAAUCGUUCGCACUGGGAGCUACCCUCAGCUGAUGGAACCAGUGUACAGAUGUCCCAGUUCCUUUCUCCCUUGGAUGGCAUCACACUGAGACCAGCGUUCCCCACUGUUUCCUAAGGCCCCAACAGGACUAAGCUCUGGUUUUCCAUAGCAGAAACUUGCUUAGUAACCUCAAUACUGAAUACCUCACUGGCCGCCUUCCCUCUUCUGUGUCUCUUCCCCACCUCCCUCCUGGGAGUUCCUGAUGUCACCUCCAGAAUGAAUGACUUGCACUUGG